CAAAAUUUAUCCUAAUCCUAGAGAUUUGCUUAUCUUCUUCCAGUGGAAAUUCCCUACUUAUCAACGAGAAUGUCAUCAGACGGACCGAUCCGCGGACAUCAUUAUGAAAUCCCUUCCUUAUUUACAUAUGCCUGUUACUCAGAAUUUCUGGUGGACACACUUCACCGAGUCGUGGGAUUCACUGGAGCAAACUUCUAAGCUGAUUUUUUUAGGAUCAAGAUUCUUCGAAUCUUGAGAUUCUAGACGAUUUUCGACAAUCAAAAAACGGUGGGGGAAGAUCAGAAUAGAAUUAAGGAUAGUUAGCCAUUUGCUCAUCAAGAUUUCAAUAUUCUUGUAGGUACAUACAAUUUUUGAAAGUAUGCAAUUUAUAUAAACCGAGGAUUUCUUAACUUUA
This is a long non-coding RNA of Folsomia candida, 394 nucleotides long. RefSeq lists it as uncharacterized. The transcript has 3 exons. The record is from RefSeq and is a predicted model, not a curated record. Lineage: Eukaryota; Metazoa; Arthropoda; Collembola; Entomobryomorpha; Isotomidae.